This 669-nucleotide non-coding RNA is filed under the name Pongo abelii (Sumatran orangutan). The record is from RNAcentral. Lineage: Eukaryota; Metazoa; Chordata; Mammalia; Primates; Hominidae.
UCACACACUCACCUGCCGGUUUUCUAAUCACAGAAUUACUGGAGCGUCAAGAAGCGCCUGCAUGCUUGGAAGGGCUUCCAGGCAGAUGAACACACCUCAGCACCGGGUGGCAGUUUCCCAGGGUGCAACCCGGACCGGCUCUGGGUCACACUGACAAGCCUCUCCGACUCCCCAGGCUGGGUUGGGUGCUCCUCCCUCUCAUCCCACAGCGCUAUGUCUCAUGUCUUCUGGAAAACUUGCCAAUCCCUAGUGAUAACAAGGAUUAACAAUUUCCAGAGACAGCCCGUACAUAGAGGGAAAGUUUACUGAAAAAAAUGAAGAGGGGUCAGGGCAAGGCGAGGAGCAAGAAGCAUCCCCAAGGAAACAGAGAAGACCAGUACAACUGUACCUCUUUGCCAGCUGCACCAUCCGUACCAGGUGGCACGUUCUAGAGGCCAUAGCCUCUGUUCUGGUCAUCUCCAGUCUCCUGGGGUGGGAGUGUACAGCUCAGAGACUGCCACACUGCAAGACGAAGGGGCUGGAUGGACGGAAGUAAGAGGCGGAACCCUGCACACCCUCGGCCUCAGCCCCACUGAGUCUCCAAUGGGGCCACGCUUCUGAGUGCACCUCCCCCUGUCAUCUGUAAUGUGAGGGGGAACCAGGCUUGAUAUGGCAUUCCCAAUCCAGGGC